This is a long non-coding RNA of Larimichthys crocea (large yellow croaker), 143 nucleotides long. RefSeq lists it as uncharacterized. The transcript is spliced from 4 exons. NCBI's taxonomy places the organism in Eukaryota, Metazoa, Chordata, Actinopteri, Sciaenidae. The record is from RefSeq and is a predicted model, not a curated record.
AAAAUAGUGCCUAUGAAAAAAGAAGUCAAGGUGCCAAAAGAGAAAGUCAAAGCAGUCUCUGCAAAGAAGACAGAAGUUCCAAAGGAAAAGGCCAAAGCUGCUCCUGCUAAGAAAGCAACUGUUGCUCCUAAAGAAAAGGCCAA